Molecule: long non-coding RNA, 575 nt
Filed under: Gallus gallus (chicken)
Lineage: Eukaryota; Metazoa; Chordata; Aves; Galliformes; Phasianidae
Description: lncRNA (ENSGALG00010023398.1)
Source: RNAcentral
GGAAGGGGUACAGCCUGGCUGCACCUCUCUUCGACCUCACUUAAAGGCUGACUGCUACUAGGGAAGGAUCUCUUUCUAGAGAUCCCUCCUUGGUGAAGCUUUCCCCUGCAAACCUGGAAUCUUCUGAUAUGGACACGGCUCAGCACAAAGGGUCCAAGACCAGAAGCACUCUAUUUUUUUACCAGAGAACUUAGCCCAUGUGGAAGUCACACAAACAAUGAACUGUUGCAGAUUACGUGCAGGCCAGAAGGAUUGCUCUGUGUGACCAUUUUUUCGGGAUCCAUUGUUUGUUAAGAGGCACCACGGGAGAUUCACGCGGGGUAACUGCAGGUGCAGUGUCACACAGCGUUCAGUCAGCACCACGACACGCUCUGAGGGUGCAGAGUUCAUGGGUGUUAGCACGCUCAGUACCGCUGAGAGGCUGAUAUUUUAAGCAUGUCUUGAAUGCCAACGUGUAAUUUGAUUAUCCGUUAUCAAGCCUGCACUACAGGAAUUCCUCUUCCAAUAGAAAUUCGGAUAGCUCAGCACAGAAAUUUGCCGUCCGGCUUUUUCCAUAAAUAUGUACGUGCAAAAAC